CCAAUAGCGUAUAUUAAAGUUGUUGUGGUUAAAAAGCUCGUAGUUGAACCUUGGGCCUGGCUGGCCGGUCCGCCUCACCGCGUGUACUGGUCCGGCCGGGCCUUUCCCUCUGUGGAACCCCAUGCCCUUCACUGGGUGUGGCGGGGAAACAGGACUUUUACUGUGAAAAAAUUAGAGUGCUCCAGGCAGGCCUAUGCUCGAAUACAUUAGCAUGGAAUAAUAGAAUAGGACGUGUGGUUCUAUUUUGUUGGUUUCUAGGACCGCCGUAAUGAUUAAUAGGGACAGUCGGGGGCAUCAGUAUUCAAUUGUCAGAGGUGAAAUUCUUGGAUUUAUUGAAGACUAACUACUGCGAAAGCAUUUGCCAAGGAUGUUUUCAUUAAUCAGGAACGAAAGUUAGGGGAUCGAAGACGAUCAGAUACCGUCGUAGUCUUAACCAUAAACUAUGCCGACUAGGGAUCGGACGGUGUUAUUUUUUGACCCGUUCGGCACCUUAUGAGAAACAAAGUGUUUGGGUUC
RNAcentral lists this unclassified non-coding RNA (516 nucleotides) under uncultured Glomeromycotina. RNAcentral describes it as "SSU rRNA". It matches the Rfam family "Eukaryotic small subunit ribosomal RNA", at positions 591 to 1114 of the family's 1831-position model. The record is from RNAcentral. Lineage: Eukaryota; Fungi; Glomeromycota.